Molecule: ribosomal RNA, 216 nt
Filed under: uncultured bacterium
Lineage: Bacteria
Description: partial 16S ribosomal RNA
Rfam family: Bacterial small subunit ribosomal RNA
Source: RNAcentral
GGUGUUGGGUUAAGUCCCGCAACGAGCGCAACCCCUGUGGCUAGUUGCCCGCUGAAAGGCGGUACUCUAGCCAGACUGCCUGUGAUAAGCAGGAGGAAGGUGGGGAUGACGUCAAGUCAGUAUGGUCCUUAUGUCCAGGGCUGCACACGUGCUACAAUGAUCGGUACAGAAGGAUGCAAGACCGCGAGGUGGAGCUAAUCCCCAAAACCGAUCCCA